This 18-nucleotide small nuclear RNA is filed under the name Arabidopsis thaliana (thale cress). RNAcentral's name for it is "snRNA_18649". Lineage: Eukaryota; Viridiplantae; Streptophyta; Magnoliopsida; Brassicales; Brassicaceae. The record is from RNAcentral.
GACACUUUAUUUACAUCA